GAAUUUUGGACAAUGGGGGCAACCCUGAUCCAGCCAUCCCGCGUGUGCGAUGAAGGCCUUCGGGUUGUAAAGCACUUUUUUCAGGGAAGAAAAGGCCCUGGCUAAUACCUGGAGUUGCUGACGGUACCUGCAGAAUAAGCACCGGCUACCUACUUGCCAGCAGCCGCGGUAAUACGUAGGGUGCCAGCGGUAAUCGGAAUUAGUGGGCGUAAAGCGGGCGCAUGCGGGUUGUCAAGAAGGAUGUGAAAUCCCAGGGCUUAAACUUGGAACUGCAUUCUUAACUGCCAGGCUAGAGUAUGUCAGAGGGGGGUAGAAUUCCACGUGUAGCAGUGAAAUGCGUAGAGAUGUGGAGGAAUACCGAUGGCGAAGGCAGCCCCCUGGGAUAAUACUGACGCUCAUGCACGAAAGCGUGGGGAGCAAACA
This 423-nucleotide ribosomal RNA is filed under the name uncultured bacterium. RNAcentral's name for it is "partial 16S ribosomal RNA". It matches the Rfam family "Bacterial small subunit ribosomal RNA", at positions 359 to 774 of the family's 1533-position model. The record is from RNAcentral.